CAGUAGCCGCGGGAAUACGUAGGGCGCAAGCGUUGUCCGGAAUUAUUGGGCGUAAAGAGCUCGUAGGCGGUUUGUCGCGUCUGGUGUGAAAACUCGAGGCUCAACCUCGAGCUUGCAUCGGGUACGGGCAGACUAGAGUGCGGUAGGGGAGACUGGAAUUCCUGGUGUAGCGGUGGAAUGCGCAGAUAUCAGGAGGAACACCGAUGGCGAAGGCAGGUCUCUGGGCCGCAACUGACGCUGAGGAGCGAAAGCAUGGGGAGCAAACAGGAUUAGAUACCCGUAGUCCCUGUCUCUUAUACAC
This 301-nucleotide ribosomal RNA is filed under the name uncultured bacterium. RNAcentral's name for it is "partial 16S ribosomal RNA". It matches the Rfam family "Bacterial small subunit ribosomal RNA", at positions 509 to 809 of the family's 1533-position model. The record is from RNAcentral.